UUUUUUUUUUUUUGGUUUUGAUCGGUAAGGCCACAGGAAGGAAUAAAUGUAGUAAUCACAAGGAGUUCUAACAACAGCAAGAAAUAAAUGGUCUGACCUUCUCCAUGAAUUCCAAGCAAAUAGCCCGUUUCCAGCAGACAACAUUAACAGGCCUAGCAAGCAAAAAGUAAUUAGACUUGACAACAAAUUCAAAAAGAGGUAUACCACUCCAGUAACUACUUAAAUUUUAAAACAAUAGAUAUAAUGCAAAACAAAUAGAAAUGACGAAAGAUAGCAGCAUGAAAAACAAAAGCAGACUUUUUCUAUGUUCAGAUGUACGGCACCAGCCUAAUCCAAAAAAGUAGAAUACUUUCAGCCAAAUGCAUUGCAUAAGAAUAUUGGGGGUCCUCUUUCUUUACCCAAGACCUCCAUCCUCCAUUCUUCUUCAUCCUGAUUUCAAGGAAACCACCUUCUUUACCACAAAAGAUGAAGAAAUUUGUACCUCAACAUGGAGCACUUUUCUAUCAAGAAGAUGUAUCCUAAGGUUCCCUGGAGAAGAAUAACUUGCAAUAAUAUUGGUACACCUAAAUCAUUAUUAAUCGUAUUGUUGGCUGCUCAUGGAAGACUGUACACAAGAGAUAGGAUGUAUAAGUGGGGAGUGAUUUCAUCUGAUAUAUGUCCCUUAUGCAACCGGGCAACUGAGAGUAUAGCACAUUUGUUCUUUCAAUGCACAAUUGCUACUGAAAUAUGGAGUAAACUGCUGCAAUGGCAAAGUAUUCAGAGGCAAGUAAUGAGCUGGAAUGAUGAACUUGACUGGGCUGUAGUUAACUAUAAUGGCAAGAAUCCAGAGGCUGAGCUGUACAGGAUGGUUUUAGCCGGGAGUGUCUACUCUGUCUGGCAAGAGAGGAAUCAAGGAGUAUUCAUGAACAACAAAAGGGAUGUUGGUACUAUCAUUAAGAUGACUGUUCAAGAUGUAUUUCAUAAGGGGUCGAUGAAGCCAUCAGUAGCGGGAAAACUAAAAAACUUGAAUUUUUAUCCUUGAACUGUAAUAGUAGAGAUGAAGGUACUUGAAAUUGGUAGGAUAUAAAAUAAGAGCUGAGCUGGGGCCUUCUGUCCAGCUCAGCAGACUGUUUUUCUUUAUUUCUUGAGCUGUACAUAGUUUAUACUUUGGUAAUAAAAUUGUUUAAUUGCCAAAAAAAAUUGUACCUCAACAGUUAUAACCUUUACAAAUUCUUCAAUCUCUUUUACCCCUAUAACAUGUGACAUCUCACAUGAACAAAACUAGUCAUGGGCUUUCAAGAACAAUCAAAUAAUAACAUUAGCCAAACAUACUUAUUAAAAAAUAAUGACAAAUAGUAUUAGUCAAACACUAAAGACUAAAUAAUUCACUUGGUCAGAUUUUAUAUGCUAGUACAGUAUACUCCAAUGACGAAUACUUAUUUUAUCAACUCUACAAAAGAAUUCAAACAAGAUCAUUCCCAAAAAGAACUCGAACCCUAAUUUUCAAACAGGGAAUGUACUAGUUACACCAGAAAACACCCACACCUGUAAGAUAUGUCCAAGACCAAGCCUCUGAAAGUGGAAAGCUCAUCCUUCUCAAACUCCGUUUCCUCUAUGAUUUCCUCCCAAACCUCUUCCUUCAUCCCAUUCGAUUGAUCAUUCAAGCGGAACUUCUUUGAUUUUCCGAUUGAUGAGGAAGAAGCAUUUGCGUAGACUCUGGUAGUACUACUACGAGCACCAGAAAACCGGAGUUUGAGUUCCUGAAGUUGUAGCGGUGAUGAACAAGGAGCCUCACUGCAGUGCACACCACCACGUACAACUUUAAAGCGGCGACCUAAAGGACUACCGGUAACUUCGAAGCCGACGGAGAGUCCAUCGCCGUUGAACAGUGGCUUAACGCGCCCUCUCACCGUGAAUUGCGCCAUUGUUGAAGCAGAUAUUUUUAUUUCCCGCGGCCGGGGGUGGGUAGGGGCAACGAAAUUAGAAUGAUCGUUAUGAUUUUUAAGAAUGUGACAAUUGUUUUUCACAUUUUGGUUUGGUAUAAGCAUUGAAGCUAAAAGUACUAUCGAGGAAAGUGGCAGUUUCGUUGCUUUUGCAUUUUGGCUUCAAUUUCUUCGCGGAAAAGUACUCUUAACCACAAGUAUUGCACGGCUCCUUGUUAGAAAUAUCUCCUUUUGGCAGUCAUCUUUCAACCACGUGACUGUAGUCUGUAAAUUGAACUUCUCAUUUUCUUCAAUUCACAUCCUCCACUUCAAAUUGACAUUUCUAAGUAGUAAUAUAAUAUAUAGUAAUUUCCUCCGUGUUAUUUUGAUGUGAUUAAGAAUAUAAAGAUAGAUAUUUGAAUUAUAAUUUUAAACUAAAGGUAGGUAGCAUACUAAAAGUAUUAUUUGGAUUAUGGUUUUAAAUAUAUCAUGUCAAUUCUUAAGGGUAUGAAAAUUGUUGAAAUUAAAAACAUAUCAAGUGUAGAAAAGUAACAUUAAUUUUAGAACAUAAAAACGAAACUAAAGCACGUAAAUCAAAGAGAGAAUUACAUAUAAAUACAAUCCACACGCAUACAUUGUAAUUAUGAGGCUUAUAUACAAUUUUGCAAAGUUGUAGCUUGAAAUAAUAGGUCAAAAUUCAGCAUCCAACUUUAAAUAAAUUCUCAAAAUUGCUAUUUAGAUUUUUUAAAGCUCAAGCUUUUAACCAAAUCUCUAAAUCAAUAAUUGUGACUCAAACAUUAGUUCUACAAACUAAAUCCAUUUGGUACUGAAAAUUAGGGUUUUAAGGUAACUUACCAUUGUUGAAUAAGCUUAAAUAAGUUUUGUGAUAAAUUUAAAGUAGGUGUUGUUUAGACUUGUUAGAAAUAGUCUAAAGAGACUGUCUACAAAAUUUGAAGUUAUUUAAAGACAUUUGGACUGAUUUUGAACGAGAAUUGCAACUGAAAAUCGUACAAGAAGUGUGCCAGAAAUGCUUAUACACUUUUAUACAAUGUUAUAUACUCUUAUAUAAGGAGGUACAUUAUGAAUACAAAUGCAUAAAAGUGUAUAAAGAUAUAUAAGCAUAAUAAUAAAAAGUAUGUUUUGUGAUACACUAUGUAUAGGUGUGUAGGAAGAAGAAGAAAAGGAAGAAAAUAUGAGAAAUCCACCAAACACAUGUAAAUAGUGUAUCAACCUUGUAUAUAAUAGUAUAUAAAAGGUAUUUAUACAUUAUUAUACAAUAUUAUAUAUUGUUAUGCAGAUGAAUCCUACCAAUGGAGUUUCACGUGUUCUUCUUCUUCUUUGUUGAGCAUCUUCUGAAAUUUAACUUCAAUUUAGCUCAAAUCUAUUUCAAUCACUUCAAAUUUUAAGUUAUGUACUCUUCUUGUUGUUUUCAAUCGAUUAGAACAAUAUGCAAUCCAAACAACUAACAACUCGAAAAACUCAAUACCUAAAUCGAAGCUUCGAACGACCUUUAAUGAUGGACUUUUAUUUUUAAAGUUUUCAAUCAACCACUAGAUUGAAAUUACAUGUGAAAUGAGGAUAUGACUGAGACAAUACUAGUACCUUCUUUCUAAUUUAAUGAUCCAACAACGUACUAAGUGAACAUCUUUAGUGCACGACAGUAAACUCAAUUCUCUCCAUUCUAAUGGAGCAAAUGUGUUGGGAUAUAUACUAUUAACCACGGGUUUGGAUAUAGUAUUUAUUAUGAAAUAAUUGCUUAUCCAAUUUUGAUAAAGAUUUAGAUAGAUCAUAUAUUAGUGUGUGUCCUUUGCUAAGUAGAUGAUUUAGUGUAUAGAGUUUAGUUUAUACACGGAAGAUUAAAUCAUCGGUUCUUAUAAGUAUCAAGUUUGAGUUCACAAUCUAAUGAUGGAACUGGACGAAUCAUCAGGAAUGAUUGUAGCACAAGAUUAAAUAUAAUUUAUUUUGAUUAUGGGAAUGAUUUAAUUCUAACUUCUUGUGCUAGUAUAUUUUAAUUUAUAUGUAUUGAACGGACCAAGUAGAGAUAAGUAUUUUAUACUGACUUAAUAAAAUAAGUUCUCUAACCAUUAAAUGUACUUAUACUCUUAAUCUUGAUAUAAUUAUUAUUAGAUGUAUAUUAUUAUUGUUUUGAUUUAUUAAAAUGCGAGAUUCGUUCGUGGGUUAAUAUGCCUGGUAAAUUGAAUAGUAAUGAUGUACAUUGGCAAAAUAAUAGUUAGAUGAUGGAAUUCAUGUCUCGGUUUAGAGAUUGAUGAUACACGUUUAUGAAAACUUAUAAAUUUUCAUGUGAAACUCGGGUGAUGAAUUUUAUAUCCGACACAUGAAAUAAGUUAAGCGAAAGUCCAAAGGAAAUAAUCAAGAAAUUAAAUUGUUAGUAAUUUAAUUGAAUUGAUUAGUAACUGAAUCUUAACACGAGAGUUAAAUAAUAUUUAAUGGAUGAAUUUUGAAAUUGAAUAAGAAGUGCAAUUACAAAUUUUUAGUGGAAUAUUCGUAUGUAUUAUGGUGGAUAUUAAUUUCGAAAAGUAGAAAUUAAUUCCAUAAUUGAAAGCCUUGUUAAUUAAAUUUUGUGGUCACUGUUGUGCCUAAAUAAUAGGAAACGAAGAAAUUAUUUUCUUGGUGAAAAAGAAAAGCCAACAUGUUUUGGAAAAGGGUUUUAACUCUUAAAACUUGUGCUAUAAAUACAUAAGAUUUUUCACCUAGAGGAAAGCAGUAGACAGCGGCCGAAAUUUCAGCCAUUUUCCUAGAGAUUUUCGCCCACAAAAAUUACUAUUUUCGGAUAUUAUUUGGGUAACACAGUAGAAAGCCGUGGAAAGUUCGGAGAUUGUGAUCGGGUGGUGGAGAUUUAUUGAGACGAUGUGAAGUUGAAGGCUCACGUGACUGAAGGGUUGUGUUCACGCUUCAAGAGGUAACCCGGAAAACUCCGUAUAUACUAGUUGUCUAGAUUACAUGUUAAUUUGAUACUGGGAUUGCUUCCGCUGCUUAUCAUAAUCCAUCAAAAUGGUUUUCAUAUGCCUCCAAAUAAAUAAUUCCUUUAUGUAUUAUUUUUUUCUUCUUGAUACAAAUAGUGGUUAUCGGCUUUGAAUCUGGGAGGAGAAUUGAAAUAGAAUAAACGGUAGAGGAAUUUGGGGGGUGCGAACUGGUCGACACUGAGGGAGAAGAAGAAUGAAGAAUGAAAGAAUAAGAAUAAUUAGAAGUGAAUCUUUAAUGUUAAGCUAAAGGAUGAAAAAUAUCAAGUUUGGCCUUUUAGAGCAACAAUGCUACGAAUAUUAGUCAAUUCAUUAAAUACUGCCAAUACUUAAAUGCUACCAAUAUUAAGUUAGCUUUUGGCAUUUCAAUGAAUGUAAGUCUUUCCUUUUUGUAUAUUGAUGAUGCUAAUCCUAUACUCCGUAACUUUUUUUCCCAUUAAUUUGUUUUAUUUUAUUAUGUUGCAUUUAAGCUCGUAUUCGUCUUGUUUCUUUCUAGUCGAUCUUGGUAUUAAUAAAAGCUAAUCAAGUUGAUGGUUAGCUCUUAAAGAUCAAUAUCAGUUAGACAAAUAAAAUCACCAGAUAAUAUCAUCUUUUUUUAAGGAUAAAUAUUAAAACUAAAAAUUGUAAUGUGAUUCUUUUAAAGUGAAUUAGAUAGAACGCUGUAGUGAGGACCCUAAGAGGAAGAGUUGGCCGCAACCCCGUGAAGAGAAAGCCUAACUCUGUUGUGUUGCUUAGCUUAUUUAAGUUAUGAAAAUUUUGGUACUCAACUGCUAACAUGUUCUUUUUUUCAUUUCCGUCGUGUUUACAGUUGCAUUAGGUGUUAGUAGCUAGCGUUUUUUUUAAUUCCAUUAUGUUUAUAAUUAAGUUAGGUUUUAGUGCUCAACUACUACCGUAAUUUUGUUAUUUCACGUGGGUGUUGUUAGAAUAAAUUGGGUACACCUCAAGAGGUUUCAAUCUCAAUUUUUGGACGGUUUGGUGGAUAUUUGAGGUUGUUUGAAUUGAAAUUUGAACCAAAAUUGAAGUAGAAGAUGAACAUUAAAGAAGAUGAGAUGUGUAUCUUCUUGUGUAUUAUUUAUCUAUCCUAUAUAUAUCAACUAUAUUUUUUAUGUGUAUCCAUGUAUACUCGUGGGCACAGAAAUUUUUAAAUUCGAUUUUAACUAUAAAUUUGACUUCAAACUAGUUCAAACCAUAUCUAAUCUUCCUCAAACAUUGUAUAUUGCCUUAUCUAUAUAUUUUAACGAAUGUGUUUUAAAUCUGUUGGUAUAUAAUAUAAAAAAUUUAGCUUUAUUUAUGUUAAAAGAAAUUUCGUAUUGGUUGGUCUGGUAACACUAUCGAAAACAACAUUCCUGCCUUUUUGAAGGUAAGGAUAAGGUCUGCGUACACACUGUCAUCCGCAAACCUCACUUAUGGAAUUACAUUAUGUUUGAUGUUGUUGUUGUUGGUCGGAUAACAAGUUUGAUCUCUACAUAAAAAUAAAAAAUCUAGCAUUGUUAAAAUAAUGCACAACGUAUUAUUGUAUAUGAGAUUUAUUAUGAAACAAUAAUACAAUACAAGUAUUCUUGCAUUCUCAUGACGCUUGCUUGCAUAAGUGAUCUAACUAAUGAAAACAAAUGAAAUAGACGAAAUUUAAUUGCAAACAAAUAGAGAGCCAUCGCCAAGACUUAAAAACUCUUUGUCAGUUGAUUGACUUAAAUUUAGAUUUUUUGCGCGCCUAAGCAGAUAACACAAUCCCAGUAUACAUCUAAAUAACAAAGGAAUGCAAAAUUUGUUUUUCCUAAUGAACGCAAUUGACAACAGCAAAUACACCCUCCUCUUUCUAUCUCUGAUAUUUUUAAACCCUCUCUAUCUUUUACAAACUUCCAACUUCUGAGGUACAACAUUCAUAAUUUUCACACUACCAAGUCAUGAUUCUACUUUUAUUUUUGUAAUUGGUAGGUUUUCAGGAUGACCUGAUUUUGGAAAAACCAGAAUAUUGGGCCUAACUUGGAGAAAUUUUAGCAGUAUCAC
RNAcentral lists this long non-coding RNA (6889 nucleotides) under Nicotiana tabacum (common tobacco). Its description in RNAcentral is "long non-coding RNA (NTAB_LNC008010)". Lineage: Eukaryota; Viridiplantae; Streptophyta; Magnoliopsida; Solanales; Solanaceae. The record is from RNAcentral.